This 331-nucleotide ribosomal RNA is filed under the name uncultured bacterium. Its description in RNAcentral is "bacterial SSU rRNA". It matches the Rfam family "Bacterial small subunit ribosomal RNA", at positions 568 to 898 of the family's 1533-position model. The record is from RNAcentral.
CGCGUAGGCGGUUUGGACAGUUGGGCGUGAAAUUCCUGGGCUUAACCCGGGGGCUGCGCUCGAUACAUCCAGGCUGGAGUGAGGAAGAGGGUCGUGGAAUUCCCAGUGUAGAGGUGAAAUUCGUAGAUAUUGGGAAGAACACCGGUGGCGAAGGCGGCGACCUGGUCCUUUACUGACGCUGAGGCGCGAAAGCGUGGGAAGCAAACAGGAUUAGAUACCCUGGUAGUCCACGCUGUAAACGAUGUGUGCUGGAUGUUGGGCGACCUAGUCGCUCAGUGUCGUAGCUAACGCGGUAAGCACACCGCCUGGGGAGUACGGCCGCAAGGUUGAA